GGCAGGGGAGCUCGGUUGGUUCGUAGCAACGCACUCAUAACGCGUCGGUCAUGGGUUCGAAUCCCAUCUCUGCCA
RNAcentral lists this transfer RNA (75 nucleotides) under Candidatus Daviesbacteria bacterium RIFCSPHIGHO2_01_FULL_44_29. RNAcentral's name for it is "tRNA-Met". It matches the Rfam family "tRNA". Rfam says of the family: Transfer RNA (tRNA) molecules are approximately 80 nucleotides in length. Their secondary structure includes four short double-helical elements and three loops (D, anti-codon, and T loops). Lineage: Bacteria; Candidatus Daviesiibacteriota. RNAcentral also lists the same sequence under 3 other names. The record is from RNAcentral.